AGUGAACGCUGGCGGUAGGCCUAACACAUGCAAGUCGAACGGCAGCACAGUAAGAGCUUGCUCUUACGGGUGGCGAGUGGCGGACGGGUGAGGAAUACAUCGGAAUCUACUUUUUCGUGGGGGAUAACGUAAGGAAACUUACGCUAAUACCGCAUACGACCUACGGGUGAAAGCAGGGGAUCUUCGGACCUUGCGCGAUUGAAUGAGCCGAUGUUGGAUUAGCUAGUUGGCGGGGUAAAGGCCCACCAAGGCGACGAUCCGUAGCUGGUCUGAGAGGAUGAUCAGCCACACUGGAACUGAGACACGGUCCAGACUCCUACGGGAGGCAGCAGUGGGGAAUAUUGGACAAUGGGCGCAAGCCUGAUCCAGCCAUACCGCGUGGGUGAAGAAGGCCUUCGGGUUGUAAAGCCCUUUUGUUGGGAAAGAAAAGCAGCAGGUUAAUACCCCGCUGCUCUGACGGUACCCAAAGAAUAAGCACCGGCUAACUUCGUG
Molecule: ribosomal RNA, 492 nt
Filed under: uncultured bacterium
Lineage: Bacteria
Description: partial 16S ribosomal RNA
Rfam family: Bacterial small subunit ribosomal RNA
Source: RNAcentral